CCAUGCCGCGUGCAGGAUGAAGGCUCUUCGAGUCGUAAACUGCUUUUAUCGGGGAAGAACGGCCAGGGUGCGCCCUGGUGUGACGGUAUCCGAUGAAUAAGCACCGGCUAACUCCGUGCCAGCAGCCGCGGUAAUACGGAGGGUGCAAGCGUUGUCCGGAUUUAUUGGGUUUAAAGGGUGCGUAGGCGGGUAAUUAAGUCUGGCUUUAAAGCAGGUCGCUCAACGAUCUAAUGUGGCUGGAUACUGGUUAUCUUGAAAUUGUUGGCCGCAGCCGGAAUGGGUCAUGUAGCGGUGAAAUGCAUAGAUAUGCCCCGGAACCCCGAUUGCGAAGGCAGGCUGCGACGACUGAUUUGACGCUGAGGCACGAGAGCAAGGGUAGCAAACAGGAUUAGAUACCCUGGUAGUCCUUGCCGUAAACGAUGAUUACUGACUGUAUGCAUUUGAUGUAUGUGGUUAAGCGAAAGCGUUAAGUAAUCCACCUGGGGAGUACGCCGGCAACGGUGAAACUCAAAGGAAUUGACGGGGG
RNAcentral lists this ribosomal RNA (526 nucleotides) under uncultured bacterium. RNAcentral describes it as "bacterial SSU rRNA". It matches the Rfam family "Bacterial small subunit ribosomal RNA", at positions 392 to 919 of the family's 1533-position model. The record is from RNAcentral.